CUAAGGGUAAGGGAGACUGAUGUUCUCUGGUUAGGCAUGAACAGAUACAGUACAGGCAGCAAGAAUGCAAGCUUCCCCUAUGCUGCCCCACCCUGACCCGCAGGAACCACCUCUAUAGAGGGGAAUAGAAAUUCAGACUCCAGACCCAUUCAGCCCUUGGCCUCU
Molecule: small RNA, 165 nt
Filed under: Chrysemys picta bellii (western painted turtle)
Lineage: Eukaryota; Metazoa; Chordata; Testudines; Emydidae
Description: TUC338 (ENSCPBG00000000092.1)
Source: RNAcentral